This 127-nucleotide small RNA is filed under the name Marmota monax (woodchuck). The record is from RNAcentral. Lineage: Eukaryota; Metazoa; Chordata; Mammalia; Rodentia; Sciuridae.
GCUAGGUUUGGUAGGGCAUGCCUGUAAUCCCAGCAACUCGGGAGGCUGAGGCAGGAGAAUAGCAAGUUCAAGGCCUGCCUCAGCAACUAAUGGAGGCCCUAAGCAAUUGUGAGAUACUCUGUCUCAA